UCUCCUUUAAACGGCCCAUUCUGUCGCACGAAAGUCCAAGUUCCAGUAGUAUAACCGGCGUUAUGGCGCGACAGGCCACGGUCUCCGUUAUGGCUGCAACGUGAAAAGGAAGGAAUGGAAAAAAAGAAAGGUAAAAAGGGAAGAAUGGAGGAAAGAGUAUGGCGGUUGGCCACGAGUCGUUAAAGUUUCGCAAGAUAAACGACGAGUGGCAGCAAGCUAGAGGACGAGUGAUAUUACGCGCGAAAAGGCGCUCGAGCUUGCACGACCUAGAAAUGGUUUACCGUCUACGUCAAUGCCGAGCAACGGAGAAUAAGGUUUAAACGGGAUAGUAGGCAGCCACUUUAAGGCUGGCGAUAAAAAAACAGAUCGACCGACCGACCCGUCUUCCUGCCUCGAGAGCGGUGGCGAGUGUUAUUUUAGAAUUAAGGGCAACUACCGACGCGGCAAUCGUACACAAGGCCGAUACACAAUCGAAAAAACAACGUUUGUCGAUGAUGAGUCUGGUUCCGAGAGGAAAUUAUUGUUCCAGGUGUGCGCGAUUCCAAAUAUCAGCGAUGACCGACAUUUGGUAUCCAGGAAUAGUUUAAUAGGUUUCCGGGGACGCAAGACGUUGAUGAUUCAUAAUUGUUCGUUGCAGAUAGAACGUUUCGUUGGAUCGCUGUCUUGGGGAAAACGCAAAAGAGAAAUAUGAUAAAUACACUUUUAUUGAUUUUCUGGCUUUAAUGUUGGUAUAUGAUUAAACAACUUUCAUAUGACAUAAUUGAAAACAACCUGUUCGGUCCAAAGAUACGUGUCUUAAAAGUAACUGAUAGGUUAAUGUUUCGUGGAAGCUAAAUAAUAUAGAAUAAACGAUGGCGCUAGGGAAUGAAUUACAAGAAGACAUUUUCCACAUGAAUUCGUCGCCACCGAAGGAAACAGUCAGCAAAAUUGAAUUAACGGUCGUCCACGGUAAGCACGGAAGACAAUUUACAGGGGACUUUUUGCUUGAAGACUUUCGAUUUAUGGGGUACGAGUUUCACCUCGUUCUCGGAAGAUAUAUGAACGCUCUUUCACUUACCUGCGAUCAUAAGAUCGACUAAGGCUUUGUCCUUUUGUAUGUACAAUGCUGUAAGGAAGAAUAAUAAGCUGCCAAUGACUGCCACAAACAUUGUAAGAAACAAAGCGUACUGCAAACUGCGAAAUUCAAGAAGUGCAUUGUCAGCUUGGUCUGUUAUGUCUUUUACUUGACCGUCUAUACUCAAGUCUGAAAGAAGAACUGUUUUCAGUCCUUCUGAUAACUGAAAUCAAUCAAUAAAUGUGCCAAAAAUUAACAAUAUAGUGAGAUAAACAAAUAUGAAAUAUAUAAUUUAAUAAAAUAAAAAUUUAAUAUA
Long non-coding RNA from Bombus pascuorum, 1370 nucleotides. RefSeq lists it as uncharacterized. The transcript has 3 exons. The record is from RefSeq and is a predicted model, not a curated record. NCBI's taxonomy places the organism in Eukaryota, Metazoa, Arthropoda, Insecta, Hymenoptera, Apidae.